AGGGUGUAAACGCUGCAGACUUGGUGUUGGAAGUCCUUUGGGGGCAUUCAGUGCCGGAGAGAAGUUGUUAAGUCUGCUACUUGGGGAGUACGUCCGCAAAGAUGAAACUUAAAGGAAUUGGCGGGGGAGCACCGCAACGGGAGGAGCGUGCGGUUUAAUUGGAUUCAACACCGUAAAACUCACCAGGGAAGACUGUUACAUGAAAGCCGAGAUGAAGACUCUGCUAGAUUUUUCAGAGAGGAGGUGCAUGGCGUCAGUGACU
Molecule: ribosomal RNA, 262 nt
Filed under: uncultured archaeon
Lineage: Archaea
Description: partial 16S ribosomal RNA
Rfam family: Archaeal small subunit ribosomal RNA
Source: RNAcentral